UCCACUCACACUCUUUUCCCCAUAGGAAUGCGUAAGCUUGACCGCCUGGGGUUUGCUGAGAAAUAAUUAAGAAGAAAAUCUUUGCCUCAACACAACUGCUCAGCUACUGUUAGAUUAUAUUCUUUUAUUUAGGGGAAAAUGUGCCUGCAAACUGGUCUCUAUGUUGGCACGGGGAAAAGGCAGGAAACAAUAACUUAGAACCAAUGAUUAUUUUUAAUUGGACUAUAAGAUUACUCAUCUCUUAAGCUUUGAAGUCUCCGGCCUGGCCGCCCCUUCUCCAUCAGACUCAGCUGCCGGCCAGUUGGCACUGCUCAUCCCAGCUCAGCAUCACUGCAAAGGGCAAUCCUCAUGAAAGGGUCGACCUAAAACCACCAGCAACUACUCGUGGCCUGAUGAAGUCAGGUAUAUGAGAGGUCACCCAGAAGAUGAAAUACAGGUCACCUCACCAAACAAAGGAGAGCCCAGAGUCGCUAUGGAGUUCUGU
Molecule: long non-coding RNA, 484 nt
Organism: Eptesicus fuscus (big brown bat)
Lineage: Eukaryota; Metazoa; Chordata; Mammalia; Chiroptera; Vespertilionidae
Exons: 3
Source: RefSeq, a predicted model, not a curated record